This 206-nucleotide long non-coding RNA is filed under the name Dasypus novemcinctus (nine-banded armadillo). RNAcentral describes it as "lncRNA (ENSDNOG00000049967.1)". Lineage: Eukaryota; Metazoa; Chordata; Mammalia; Cingulata; Dasypodidae. The record is from RNAcentral.
UGUUCCGCCUGAUGAUGCUGUUUGCCGGGCUCGGUGACUUGCUAGUGGCAAGACCCGAUUCUAAAAAUUUAUUUCCACAAAUCAUAUUUCCAGAGAAAAUCCAAGCAAACACAAGUGAUAAUUCAGAAGUUGAAUACGUAAGAGAUGUUUUUUCACAAUCUAAAUUAUUAUAUGCAAUUUAUUAUAUUUUAUUAUAUAGCAAUAAA